GGGGCAGCUGGGUCUGGCUCAGAGGAGCCUGUACCAAGAAGUGAUGCUGGAGACUUGGGGACUCCUGACUUCUCUGGAUAAGACCUCACCUUUCUUCCAUGCGAAGUCCUGUCAAGUCCUUGUCUAAAGAACCACGUGGGACUGAGACAAGUCCUUUGAAACGUUACUAAAAUCCACGUAGCCGGAACAGGGACAACUCUUCCCAAACCAGAGCUGAUCUGCCAACUGGAAUGUGGGCAUGAGCUGUGGACCACAGAGAGGGGCCUUGCUAAAAACUCUUGGGCAGUAAAGAACAGGAUGUCAGGAAGAGUGGCUACAGAAACUGCUCAAGUGAAGCAGCUGUGGGGAACUGGUGUUUGCAGUAGGAAGUGGUGUACUAACCAAGGGAGGAGAGGACUCGGCGGGAAAGCCAGGGGGUCAGGGUGACCUAAAAUGGAGCCCACAUCUGAGGUCUGCCUGAAUUCAGGAAGAGAGAUUUCAUCACAGCAUGAAUGAACUCCAAGAUAUUUAUGUUGCAUGAAAGACAGCAGGCAGAAAUGGUUCAUGCUUCCACCUACGUAAAAUUCAUGAUGAUGAUGCACAUUUAUAUCAAUAAAGCAACAGUUCCUUGAGAAAUUGAAGUGACACGGAGAGGAGGAAUAUGAAGGGACACAGACAUGGGACAGAGAUCUGCCUUCCCUGAAGUAAGUGGGGUCACUAAGGUCCUGAGAGAGGAGAAUUGAGAUGGUUUCGGCCCCCGACAUUGGCCAUGACACAACUUCAGGAUUCUCUAUGCCGGACUGCUUCAAGUGGCGGUAAAGGUCUGCAUUGAACCAGAAGUGUCUCUCACAUGCCCCACAGAUUCUUGCAGGAAUGGAUAAAAGACAUCUCCAACCUGACCUUCAAUCAGCUUCUUCACCCUUACAGUCUGCUGCCGACCGGCUAGGCCCCCAAACUUCCAACUCUUAAUCCCCUUCUUCGACCUAUCUCAGCAGGAAGUAGUUAAUAUUGGAAAUGGGGCGACGUUUUCUGUCUUAAGAAGUUUGAAAUGUUGGGUCGGGUCGGAACUAGGCAGCCCCCGUUUGGACUAAGCUGAAGCAGGUUCGGGCCCUGCACAUGCUUGCUUCCCUGCACGUCCCAGAGGUCAGCAGUAGUCGGCGCCAGUGAAGCCUGAUGUUCCAGGUUCAAAGAAAGCCUCCUGGAGUGGACAAGCAACUCUCCCAGUUUCCAGACCCCAUAUGCUAAUUGCCACACAUUCCUCACCACUCCUUUAAAAACCCUUCCCUGACCUGUUGGCCUAGGUCACGGAACCUCGUCUGGGAGCUCCCCUAACCCCUACUAAAGCUCGCUCUACUUCUGUUCUCCCUUGUCCCGCCAGUUAUGUCCAUCUUCCUCCCUGUCCCUCAGUUCUGCUUUACACCCAGGACAACAGGAGGUACUAGUCCAAAGUAAUCUACUCGUGAGAGAGAAAACUGAAUGUUACAGUGUCCAGCAGGAAUCCAAGUAGGUUUCACAAGCAAUGACUGACAAAUUCACAGCAUGGGCAGGACUAAGGAGAUGUCGACUACAGAAAGCGGGCAGAAUCCGGGGCACAGAAAUGCCUUGGAAAUGGACAGACUCACAAACAGCCAGGUAAAGGUCAAGUAGAGCAUAAUCUGUUGGAUGAUGGCAGGACUCCUGACUCUUUCUCAACAAGGCUCAGAACAGUCUGAGGACAAUUGGAGGCGAGGCACAGCUGAGCCUGGCCUAGAGGUCUCUGAGGGAGCUGAGCAAAGUAGCAGUGGUGAUUUGUGGGAAACAGGAUUUCUCUCAAGCUGUCUUCCCCCAAAUAUAUGCCAGACAGCUGCUUGAGAAUGACUAUACACUUGGAGGUCAU
Long non-coding RNA from Echinops telfairi (small Madagascar hedgehog), 1855 nucleotides. RefSeq lists it as uncharacterized. The transcript has 6 exons. NCBI's taxonomy places the organism in Eukaryota, Metazoa, Chordata, Mammalia, Afrosoricida, Tenrecidae. The record is from RefSeq and is a predicted model, not a curated record.